GACAGAGGGUGCAAACGUUGUUCGGAAUUACUGGGCGUAAAGCGCGUGUAGGCGGCCCUGCAAGUCGGAUGUGAAAUCCCACGGCUCAACCGUGGAAGUGCAUUCGAAACUGCAGGGCUAGAGUCCUGGAGAGGAAGGUGGAAUGCUUGGUGUAGAGGUGAAAUUCGUAGAUAUCAGGAGGAAUACCGAUGGCGAAGGCAGGUCUCUGGGCUGACACUGACGCUCAUGCACGAAAGCGUGGGGAGCAAACAGG
RNAcentral lists this ribosomal RNA (253 nucleotides) under uncultured bacterium. RNAcentral's name for it is "partial 16S ribosomal RNA". It matches the Rfam family "Bacterial small subunit ribosomal RNA", at positions 524 to 776 of the family's 1533-position model. The record is from RNAcentral.